This 501-nucleotide ribosomal RNA is filed under the name uncultured bacterium. RNAcentral describes it as "bacterial SSU rRNA". It matches the Rfam family "Bacterial small subunit ribosomal RNA", at positions 28 to 526 of the family's 1533-position model. The record is from RNAcentral.
GAUGAACGCUGGCGGCGUGCUUAACACAUGCAAGUCGAACGAAGCAUAUGGACGGAAGUUUUCGGAUGGAAGACCAUAUGACUGAGUGGCGGACGGGUGAGUAACGCGUGGGUAACCUGCCUCAUACAGGGGGAUAACAGUGAGAAAUUGCUACUAAUACCGCAUAAGCGCACAGGACCGCAUGGUCCGGUGUGAAAAACUCCGGUGGUAUGAGAUGGACCCGCGUCUGAUUAGCUAGUUGGUAAGGUAAGGGCUUACCAAGGCGACGAUCAGUAGCCGGCCUGAGAGGGCGACCAGCCACACUGGGACUGAGACACGGCCCAGACUCCUACGGGAGGCAGCAGUGGGGAAUAUUGCACAAUGGGGGAAACCCUGAUGCAGCGACGCCGCGUGAAGGAAGAAGUAUUUCGGUAUGUAAACUUCUAUCAGCAGGGAAGAAAAUGACGGUACCUGACCAAGAAGCCCCGGCUAAUUACGUGCCAGCAGCCGCCGCAGUAAGAC